GAAAUGCGAUACGUAAUGCGAAUUGCAGAAUUCAGUGAAUCAUCAAAUUUUUGAACGCAACUUGCGCUGUUGGGUAGGCCCGGCAGCAUGCCUCUUUGAGUAUCGAUUCUAACCAAACUCGCCUGCGUGCUUCAGUGUCACAAGGGCGGACAAUGAGCGUCUGGUUUCGAAAGUGACCAGUUGCUUCAAAUACAACGUUGCUUUUCAAUGGUCCGCUAAAUGAAUAAGGCUCGCCUAUUCAUCUAGCUGAUGUUGAUAAUCCUGGGCUUCUGUUGCCUGGUUUUGACAUCGGGUCUAGGAAUGGGAGGGCUUUAGUGUGAUCGAAAAGCCGAACAAAGGAAAACACUCUUUUUUUUGAAUUUGAUCUCAGAUGAAGCAAGAUUACCCGCCGAAUUUAA
RNAcentral lists this unclassified non-coding RNA (398 nucleotides) under uncultured fungus. RNAcentral describes it as "sequence contains ITS1". The stretch from base 1 to 105 matches the Rfam family "5.8S ribosomal RNA", at positions 50 to 154 of the family's 154-position model. Lineage: Eukaryota; Fungi. The record is from RNAcentral.